Molecule: ribosomal RNA, 402 nt
Filed under: uncultured Mesorhizobium sp.
Lineage: Bacteria; Pseudomonadati; Pseudomonadota; Alphaproteobacteria; Hyphomicrobiales; Phyllobacteriaceae
Description: bacterial SSU rRNA
Rfam family: Bacterial small subunit ribosomal RNA
Source: RNAcentral
AGUGGGGAAUAUUGGACAAUGGGCGAAAGCCUGAUCCAGCCAUGCCGCGUGAGUGAUGAAGGCCCUAGGGUUGUAAAGCUCUUUCAACGGUGAAGAUAAUGACGGUAACCGUAGAAGAAGCCCCGGCUAACUUCGUGCCAGCAGCCGCGGUAAUACGAAGGGGGCUAGCGUUGUUCGGAAUUACUGGGCGUAAAGCGCACGUAGGCGGAUUGUUAAGUCGGGGGUGAAAUCCCGGGGCUCAACCCCGGAACUGCCUUCGAUACUGGCAAUCUAGAGUCCGGAAGAGGUGAGUGGAAUUCCGAGUGUAGAGGUGAAAUUCGUAGAUAUUCGGAGGAACACCAGUGGCGAAGGCGGCUCACUGGUCCGGAACUGACGCUGAGGUGCGAAAGCGUGGGGAGCAAA